Molecule: long non-coding RNA, 2852 nt
Filed under: Oncorhynchus kisutch (coho salmon)
Lineage: Eukaryota; Metazoa; Chordata; Actinopteri; Salmoniformes; Salmonidae
Description: lncRNA (ENSOKIG00005020523.1)
Source: RNAcentral
CCUUUUAUCCGCCCCCACUCAACCCUCAUACCUAUUCAUACCCUUCUUUGUUCUCUGCCCCCUCUCUCUUUUUCUAUCCCUCCGCCAUUCUCAGUACAUCUCCCUCCCCUCCUCGUUCCUAACCUCCCUCCCUCUCCUUCCGUCUCUCUAAUUAAUGCUGUUAUCAUCCCGCUCUCUCUCUCUCUAAGCUGUGCUUCGCUCCUACUCUUAUCAUCCCACUCUCUCUCUCUCUCUAAGGUGUGCUUCGCUCCUACUCUUAUCAUCCCACUCUCUCUCUCUCUCUCUCUCUUAGCUGUGCUUCGCUCCUACUGUUAUCAUCCCACUCUCUCUCUCUCUCUCUUAGCUGUGCUUCGCUCCUACUGUUAUCAUCCCACUCUCUCUCUCUCUAAGCUGUGCUUCGCUCCUACUGUUAUCAUCCCACUCUCUCUCUCUCUCUCUCUCUCUCUAAGCUGUGCUUCGCUCCUACUGUUAUCAUCCCACACUCUCUCUCUCUCUAAGCUGUGUUUCGCUCCUACUGUUAUCAUCCCACACUCUCUCUCUCUAAGCUGUGCUUCGCUCCUACUGUUAUCAUCCCACUCUCUCUCUCUAAGCUGUGCUUCACUCCUACUGUUAUCAUCCCACUCUCUCUCUCUCUCUCUCUCUAAGCUGUGCUUCGCUCCUACUCGUCAGUUAGCAGAGCCUUUAACUGCUCCAGCACCUUUGCCAAAGUCGAUGGGAAAGUUCCGCUCCAAUGUCUCUGUUGGUUCUAUACCUUUAUUUAUAUACAAUAGGAUAUUUGCAUACAGUACUUUACAAGCCAAUUACAGUGCAAUCUUUUCAGUUAUUUAUUGUUUAAAAAAUAAAAAAUUAAGAGACAAAUGUAAGUGUAGUUAUAAAUGUACUAAUUUGUUUUUUCUCUCAUAGCAUGUUAUAUUGUUAUUAUGAUCAUGUUUCAGUUUUUAUUGGAUGUUAUUUUAGAUGUUUGAUUUAAGGCCAGCAUUUCGUACUCUCAGUAGCCAAUUACAUAUCUCAUUUAUACUCUUACAGUUGUUGGGAAAACCUGUAGUUGUUUCAUUAUUCUGUAUGUCUGUAUCAGUGCCGUUUUUAACAUGGUAACCAAAUGUCUGUCCUUGUCAUCUCCUCUCUGACACACAGAACUGGCUCUUAUCCAUAGCCACGUGACCGUCACGUCAUAACACCAAUAAUGGUGGCUUUAGAAUUGUUCUGUCAUGAUUUCACGGUUAUGACCAGCCUGUGUGGUUUUCUGUAUGCAUUAAGAGAUGUAGCAAACCGUUAGCCAGGUUAUAUUGGUAAAGAUUUUAGACAGCUGGAGAGAACACACAGAGUGUCUUCAGAAACGUUACCUUUUCUGUUUUUAAGGUUAUGUUGGCGUCUGUAUUGGGAUUUAAGCACAGGCAUGACGUAACGUACAACUCUGAGGGGGCACUGGUGGUUAAAUAAUGUACACUCUUAGAAAAAAAGGGUUCCAAAAGGGUUCUUCGGCUGUCCCCAUAGGAGAACUCUUUUGGGUUCCACGUAGAACCCUCCAAUGGGGACAGUCGAAGAACCCUUAUAUGCUCUAGGUAGCAGCUUUUUUUUCUGGAGAGUUUAUGAAGGUGAAAUGAGGUAUGAAGGUACUCUGAAGGUGAAAUAAGGUAUGAAGGUACUCUUUACAGUUACUGUAACCAGUGCUUGAAGAGGACGGCAGAAGGUGGCGGUACUGACUUUAAUUCUACCGUUUGAGCCGGGAUUCUGUAAGAGUUUCCAUUAUUCAGACAGUAUGACGAGACUUGAAGACUCAGGUUAGCUCCGCAUGGCUAAUGCCCUAGGCUUUAGUUUCAGGGGCUAACACAGUCUUGGGACGAUGUACAGUGCCCCCUCAGUGGGAAGGUGUGUGGUGUCUCGGGGAGUCAGAACAAUAGUUGCCUUAAUUUGUCGUUUAUACUGCCUAAUGUUAUAGAUUAAGACGUGUUUGAUAUCAUAUCUGUUUGGUUUCUUUCUGCCAAAGUCGAGGCUUGUGUCAUACCAUUUUACUUUGUGUGUGUGUGUGUGUGUGUGUGACACACACACGUUCCUUUCAAUGUAAUCUACGUUCUCAAGGGUUCCUUGAUGUUCCCUCUGUGACCACACAGCAUUAUUAUUCCUGUCACAUUAUUAUCCUCUCAAAAAGGAAAGACAUAACUUGAUCUGUGAUUUACGCUUCUUUCAUAUUUUUGUUUUUAUGUUGAUUUUUUUUGUGAAGCUAAAUGUAUUAAAUGUUCUGUUGUUAAAUAUACUACCCCUUUAUUGAGUUUUAACACGCUGAUUUCACACUGAAAAAGGUCAAAAAGACUACAACAAUCAAAUCGGGAUGUCAGUCAGACCGAUGAGGAUGAGGAAUACUUUUCCCAGCUUGUCGUCGUAUAAAGAGCCUUAGUGAUUAUUUUGUGUCCAGUGUUUUUGCUUAGAAUUGAUAGUCAGUGCAGAGUUAUUAUACGUAUAAGAGAUGUAGUAUUGACGCUAAAAUGAGGCAAGUACAACUAACAGAUUAUAUGGAGCACUUUUAAAGCGGUAGACCCUUAGCCCACAGAGUAAGUGUCUGUCCUGCGAGAACCGUGAUGCUUUUCAUCAGACAUCUUCUUGUUUUGAUACCAGACACCCACAGCUGCCCGCCGGGCACUCUGUUACAUUGGCAUUACCAUGUCGUCUGGAGUUUUGACUACGUCAUUGUUGUGACUGAGUCGUCUGGCAAUGUUGGGUCAUUUGGUGUUGCUGUGUCAUACAGCGUUACUCUGUCAUCUGACGUGACUUUGUCAUGUUAUGUCCAUCUUUCCUGUCCACCUGUCUUAGUUAGAAAAAAGACUGUUGAUAUGUCCUGUUGUGUUAACUCUCCC